GUUCUCUCAAAAGAAACUCCACUUCAGGAGCAAAAAUACUGGUUUCGGGAAACCUUUGACUAUCUUUUCAACAUUGCUAAUUCUGGAGAAGCUACAGAAGCUGGUAUAUACUUCCUUUCUGGGUAAGCAGGUUCUGUUAAUAUAUAAAUAUUUACAUACAUAGAAUAAAUAGAGCAUGUUAGCAUUCCACCUGCUUAAUUAAAUCAAAUCUUCUCCUCAACAUUUUACGUUGAUGCAAUCAUACCACCCCACAUCUCUAUAAUGAUGAAGUACAUGUGUAUGUGUUUGUGUGUGUAUGUUCUCACCAAAGCCCAGUUUCAAAGCUCUUAAAAAUGUAUAGUAUUUUUAAAAAACACCCAACGUAGGGAAAAAUAAAGGGGAUUCAGUUACAGUAUAUGAUCAUACAUUGUAUAAGCCUGCAAUAAUGUAAAUGCACCCCUUUUCUCUAGAUAUUUUUUUGUUCUUUAGAUUUCCAGUAACACAAAGGGGGGGUAUACCUUUAGUUAUUUUGGUAUAUAAACUCAAAAGGUGCGCUGUAUUAAACAUCACAUGGAUUUACCUUAAGGUGGCAGGUAUACAAGAAACGGCCUAAAGAAGCCUUCCCCUUUUGGUGGGAUGUUGUUCUAGGAUUUCGGGUGAUGACUGAGAAUGAGUUGGAAAAGUUUCCUCGCCAUACAUUUGGUCAGACAUUUACAACACUCAAGUGCCAGUCUACACUUUAUCUUCCUUGGAUGGAGAAAAGGUUAGUUGUCUUUCAAUCUAUUUUAUUUGCAAAAUGUACUGGAUUUUUUAUAAUAUCAGGGCAUACAGUAAAAAGGAAGAAUUGAGAUUAUCCCUUACGUAUUUUACUUAUUUCACAACCUGGUCCUCAUUGAUUAAUUUUCUUUUAAAAUAUGAAGAGAUAUCUUCUAAGCAGUGGAACAUUAUAUCUGAGUAAUAGGAAUUCUCAGGGGUCGAAGGUUCAAUUCACGAUAGGGUUGACUCAGACCUUCAUCCUUCUGAAGUUGAUAAAAUAAGUACCAUUAAAUUGGGUGAGAGUAACUUUCCCAGGACAUACUUGGAAACCAGAGUAAUCUAAAUGUACCUAUCCUGGUUAAAUACUUUGUUGUUAUUAUUAUUAUUAAUUCUAGUUGGCCUGAAUACAAUCUCUUUUAUAUAACACUUAAUUAUUAAUAUUAUACUAUGCUAAUAGCAUAUAUUUCAUGUUUAGUUCUAUCCUUAAACUCAUAUCAGCAAAUAGUAGAAAUAAGAAUAACAAAACUGUAAAAACAUGAUAUAAUCAGUAAAUGUUUCUCCCAAUUUUGUACCUUCCAAUGUAAUGCUCUUACUUUGGGGGUGUGGGGUAGACUACUGCUCAACAGAAGUGCUCUAUGGAAGGCCAGAGGAGCAGAUUAGAUAAGGGACUGUUUGCUCAACACAGGUGUAGCCCUUUGUAGCCUUUCUCAUAUCUCAUAUUCUGUUGCAGGUUUAAAAGUAACGGUGGAAAACUAAUAGCAAGAAAAGUUGAUGAUGUUUGGCAGCUACAUGGCACAUAUGAUAUAAUCGUGAACUGUACAGGCAUAGGAUCAAGAGAACUAACUGGUGAUAUAUUAUUGUAUCCUGUUAAAGGCCAAGUUCUGGAGGUCCACGCACCCUGGAUAAAACACUUUAUUAGAGAUGGAGACGAGAACACUUAUAUAUACCCAGGAAUAAAUAACACAACUCUUGGUGGAACGAGACACAAACAUGACUGGAGCCUAUUGCCUGAUUUUAAAAUCAGCAAAGAAAUCCAAGAUCGGUGUUGUGAACUUGAACCAUCUCUUCAUGGUGUUGGUGUGAUUCGCGAGAAGGUCGGCUUAAGGCCAGUACGUGCAGCAGUGAGACUUGAGAAAGAGGUGCUUUUUAAGAAAGGACAAAAACUUCACAUGGUGCACAAUUAUGGCCAUGGUGCCAGUGGAUAUUCUGUGCAUAUUGGAACUGCCAAAAGAGCCACCAAACUGGUUGAAGAAUUAAUUCCAUUGAUAGGCAGCUAUAUUGCAAAGUCAAAACUAUAAGUUCUUGACUUUAAAGAUAAUCAUAAUUAGUAUAUUUCUCCAUAUAAGAUUCAACAAGGCUGAGACACCCACAUGGUUCAAAUGGUGGAUGGGAUGCUAACAUGGCAUGGCUUGAGUUACAAGCUAGUUGUUUGAUUGUUUUUUCACUUUGUGUAUAUUCUAGUCUCUGACC
RNAcentral lists this long non-coding RNA (2205 nucleotides) under Pelobates cultripes (western spadefoot toad). The record is from RNAcentral. Lineage: Eukaryota; Metazoa; Chordata; Amphibia; Anura; Pelobatidae.